This 292-nucleotide ribosomal RNA is filed under the name uncultured bacterium. RNAcentral's name for it is "partial 16S ribosomal RNA". It matches the Rfam family "Bacterial small subunit ribosomal RNA", at positions 505 to 796 of the family's 1533-position model. The record is from RNAcentral.
GUGCCAGCAGCCGCGGUAAAACGUAGGAGGCGAGCGUUAUCCGGAUUUACUGGGCGUAAAGCGCGCGCAGGCGGGUCAGUGAGUCGGACGUGAAAGCUCCUGGCUUAACUGGGAGAGGCCGUUCGAUACUGCUGGGCUUGAGGUUGGGAGAGGGGUGCGGAAUUCCCGGUGUAGUGGUGGAAUGCGUAGAUAUCGGGAGGAACACCUGUGGCGAAAGCGGCACCCUGGCCCACACCUGACGCUGAGGUGCGAAAGCGUGGGUAGCAAACAGGAUUAGAAACCCUAGUAGUCC